This 260-nucleotide ribosomal RNA is filed under the name uncultured bacterium. RNAcentral describes it as "partial 16S ribosomal RNA". It matches the Rfam family "Bacterial small subunit ribosomal RNA", at positions 95 to 354 of the family's 1533-position model. The record is from RNAcentral.
UUGGCGGACGGGGUGAGUAACGCGUGAGGAACCUGCCUCAGAGUGGGGGAUAACACACCGAAAGGUGUGCUAAUACCGCAUAACAUAUGGGAGGGGCAUCCCUUUCAUAUCAAAGAUUUAUUGCUCUGAGAUGGCCUCGCGUCCAAUUAGCUAGUUGGCGGGGUAACGGCCCACCAAGGCGACGAUUGGUAGCCGGACUGAGAGGUUGAACGGCCACAUUGGGACUGAGACACGGCCCAGACUCCUACGGAAGGCAGCAG